Molecule: long non-coding RNA, 266 nt
Organism: Cuculus canorus (common cuckoo)
Lineage: Eukaryota; Metazoa; Chordata; Aves; Cuculiformes; Cuculidae
Exons: 3
Source: RefSeq, a predicted model, not a curated record
GGGGGCGGUGGCGGAGGCCUUGGGGACGGCUUUGGCUCCGAUGCUGCCGAGCGUCGUUCCGCUGCUGCUGCGGGCGCUGCGCCAACCGCCGCCUGCGGCGGGGGGGGAGGGCCUCGACCCAUUGGUUCUCUUCGAGGAGGAGGAGGAGCCAAUGGACGAUGACAUCACGGAGGAGGAGGAGCUAAUCGAGGUGGAACUGGGAGGAGCGUGGGCAGAGGAACUGGUGGAGGCGUGCGAGGCACUGGAGCACUGGCCGAGCACUGCGG